CCAGCAGCCGCGGUAAUUCCAGCUCCGCAAGUGUAUUCCUAUACUGUUGCGUUUAAAUAGCUCGUAGUUGGAUCUGCGUGUUUAGCGCGUGGUGUUGCUUUUUGCAACUACUGCGACGCGACACUGUACGCUGAUUGCAUCUCUUGAGUUGCUGUCAGCAAGUUUACUUUGAACAAAUCAGAGUGCUCAAAACGGGCGUUUCGCUCGAAUGUUCUUGCAUGGAAUAAUGGAAUAGGACCUUGCGUUCUAUUUUGUUGGUUUUCGGGACGCGGGUAAUGAUUAAGAGGGACAGACGGGGGCAUUUGUACUGCGACGUGAGAGGUGAAAUUCUUGGAUCGUCGCAA
Molecule: ribosomal RNA, 344 nt
Filed under: uncultured eukaryote
Lineage: Eukaryota
Description: SSU rRNA
Rfam family: Eukaryotic small subunit ribosomal RNA
Source: RNAcentral